Molecule: long non-coding RNA, 912 nt
Filed under: Ricinus communis (castor bean)
Lineage: Eukaryota; Viridiplantae; Streptophyta; Magnoliopsida; Malpighiales; Euphorbiaceae
Description: long non-coding RNA (RCOM_LNC002327)
Source: RNAcentral
GAGCUUAAUUGAAACACCAAAUAAAAGCUAGAGAAUUAAUUAAAUAAGAAUUUUUCAGGGGCAUUUGUUAAAAGGAAAUAAAAGCAAGGAUCGGGUGGGGAUAAGAAGAAAUCGGGGAGAGAGAAAAGAGAAAGAAGAAAAAAGGAGAGGGAGCUUGAGACUGCCAUUAAUGGCAGAUGGAGGAGGAGGUCAAUUUGGUAGGUGCAGAAGUUGGCAGGAGGUGUAACUGUCGACGGCGAACUCAAAGGUGGAAGUGGCAGCAGCUAUCGAGGACAGCAGAUAGCGGAAAACGACAAGCAAAAGGCAGCAGCUCUUCAAUGUCAUUUAUGGUGUUUCCGAUAGCGGUAACAACUGAUUUUGGUGGCUAUCAACUCAUUUGAGAGUGGUUUUUCAGUUGGGGCAGCAAUAAUAAUAAUGGUGGCUCGAGAAGAGAGAUCCGACAAAGGAAAUUUUAUAAAGGCAGCUUGAUUAUUUGGACUUUCUAGCCAAUAUCGUCGUGUCUUAGAUGAUUAGAGACUAUAUUCGGAACCUAAGCUUUCCAUUGACACCCAUUUUCAUAACGAUCAAUCUCCAUUGGAAAAUCAACAGUCAAACCUGCUUACGGCAUUUGAAGUUGAUCGGUGACUUGAUCAGAGAAUAUAGAUUCAUUUUCUACGCGUUAUUUUGAGUCCGUAAGCAUGCUUGGAUUUUUUAUCGGACUCCGGCGACCAAACGUAAGUCGACUGAUAUAGCACGCAUAUUGAUAAUUCUUUAGUUUAUUGAUUUUAGAAUUGUUAAUUAAAAAUAUAUUGGUAUUAGUCGGGGAAAAAUUGGUUAAUGUAUUUAUGAAUAUAUCUUGAGAAAUAAAAAAUUGUAUUAUUGAAAUUUAGUGAAAUUGAGCGAUCUGUUAAAAUUGAUAAAGGCUCUUUUAUU